UUUUGGACAAUGGGCGCAAGCCUGAUCCAGCCAUGCCGCGUGCGGGAAGAAGGCCUUCGGGUUGUAAACCGCUUUUGUCAGGGAAGAAACGCUCUGGGCUAAUACCCCGGGGUAAUGACGGUACCUGAAGAAUAAGCACCGGCUAACUACGUGCCAGCAGCCGCGGUAAUACGUAGGGUGCAAGCGUUAAUCGGAAUUACUGGGCGUAAAGCGUGCGCAGGCGGUUUGUUAAGCCAGAUGUGAAAGCCCCGGGCUCAACCUGGGAACUGCGUUUGGUACUGGCAAGCUAGAGUACGGCAGAGGGGGGUGGAAUUCCACGUGUAGCAGUGAAAUGCGUAGAGAUGUGGAGGAACACCGAUGGCGAAGGCAGCCCCCUGGGCCGAUACUGACGCUCAGGCACGAAAGCGUGGGGAGCAAACA
This 420-nucleotide ribosomal RNA is filed under the name uncultured bacterium. RNAcentral describes it as "bacterial SSU rRNA". It matches the Rfam family "Bacterial small subunit ribosomal RNA", at positions 362 to 774 of the family's 1533-position model. The record is from RNAcentral.